GAUGAACGCUGGCGGCGUGCUUAACACAUGCAAGUCGAGCGAAGCACUUAUCAUUGACUCUUCGGAAGAUUUGAUAUUUGACUGAGCGGCGGACGGGUGAGUAACGCGUGGGUAACCUGCCUCAUACAGGGGAAUAACAGUUAGAAAUGGCUGCUAAUGCCGCAUAAGCGCACAGGACCGCAUGGUCCGGUGUGAAAAACUGAGGUGGUAUGAGAUGGACCCGCGUCUGAUUAGGUAGUUGGUGGGGUAACGGCCUACCAAGCCGACGAUCAGUAGCCGGCCUGAGAGGGUGAACGGCCACAUUGGGACUGAGACACGGCCCAGACUCCUACGGGAGGCAGCAGUGGGGAAUAUUGCACAAUGGGGGAAACCCUGAUGCAGCGACGCCGCGUGAAGGAAGAAGUAUCUCGGUAUGUAAACUUCUAUCAGCAGGGAAGAAAAUGACGGUACCUGACUAAGAAGC
RNAcentral lists this ribosomal RNA (463 nucleotides) under uncultured bacterium. RNAcentral describes it as "bacterial SSU rRNA". It matches the Rfam family "Bacterial small subunit ribosomal RNA", at positions 28 to 491 of the family's 1533-position model. The record is from RNAcentral.